This 322-nucleotide ribosomal RNA is filed under the name uncultured eukaryote. RNAcentral describes it as "partial 18S ribosomal RNA". It matches the Rfam family "Eukaryotic small subunit ribosomal RNA", at positions 1470 to 1796 of the family's 1831-position model. The record is from RNAcentral.
CCCUUAGAUGUUCUGGGCCGCACGCGUGCUACACUGAGUGGAUCAGCGGGUCAGGUUGAGCGAAAGUGUUUCCUAAUCUUGAAAUCCGCUCGUGAUGGGGAUUGACGGUUGCAAUUUUCCGUCAUGAACGAGGAAUACCUUGUAAGCGCGGGUCAUCAUCCCGCGCUGAAUACGUCCCUGCCCUUUGUACACACCGCCCGUCGCUCCUACCGAUUGAGUGGUCCGGUGAGGCUUUGGGAUCUGAGCGGAAAGAGCGUUUCGCUGUUUCUGCUCGGAAAACUCAGUCGAACCUUAUCAUUUAGAGGAAGGAGAAGUCGUAACA